Poecilia latipinna (sailfin molly) is the source of this 1028-nucleotide long non-coding RNA. RefSeq lists it as uncharacterized. NCBI's taxonomy places the organism in Eukaryota, Metazoa, Chordata, Actinopteri, Cyprinodontiformes, Poeciliidae. The transcript is spliced from 2 exons. The record is from RefSeq and is a predicted model, not a curated record.
UUUGCUGACCGCAGGCGGCUCCCCGCGCCCGCCUACAACCCCGGACAAAGGGGUUGGCUGUCGACUCAUGAUAUUGCACUCAAAUCCAUGUCUAAGAAGCUUUCCCCCAGGUUUAUCGGUCCUUUCGAGGUGGAGUCAGUUCUCAGUCCGUCUGCCGUUCGCCUCCGUCUUCCAGCCUCACUCCGCAUCCAUCCCACUUUUCAUGUCUCUCAGUUGAAGGCUGUUCAGACCAGCGACCUUUCCCCUCCUGAGUCUCCGCCUCCCCCCCGAGAUAUCGACGGCCAUCCCGCCUACACUGUCCGCCUGAUUGUGUACUCCCGUCGGCGAGGUCGUGGUUGGCAGUAUCUCGUUGAUUGGGAGGGCUACGGUCCGGAGGAUCGCAUGUGGGUCCCUGGCUCCUUUAUUUUGGACCCAACCAUGAUUUCGGAUUAUCUGUCCUCUAUUCCUUCUUGCUCUUCUCGGCCGCCAGGUGGCGACCGUUGAGGGGGGGGUACUGUUAGGUUUUGGGUGGCUCAGCUGUCUCCCCACUAGAUGGAGUUAGAGGUGCGGACUGCACUUUCUGGGAUGACAUCACUCUCACACCGGAGGCUGAUCGGGUAAUUGGCGGCAGCAUAAGAAGGGUGGAACGCCAGUACUUCGACGCCAGAGUGUCACCGUUGAUGGUACCUCCAGCCCCUCGGAGUUCUGCUCCAAGUUUCUUUGUGUGAAAUCUGCCAGUUAUUCCCGUAUCUCGACGCGUUCCUAAUUGUGGAUUUUUUUUUCCCUGCUCCCCACAGGAUCCAUCCAAGUCUGGUCAUCUGUUUUCUGGUUCCCUGCAAGUCUGAAGCUUCCGACCGGCCGUUCCACCCACACCCUGCCGCCUUCAAAGAUAAGCCGUCCUGUCCCCCCUCCAACGCCACAUCUUCCUCCCACCAGUUAUUCCCCUCCAAGCCGUUUUCGUACACACAAGCCAUGCUCCGAGAGCAGCCGAGCAGUCCCUGGACCAGUUUCUUUAUCUGUUGCCGUUGUAAAUAAAUCAUUCAUUUUUA